RNAcentral lists this ribosomal RNA (59 nucleotides) under Chaetopeltis orbicularis. Its description in RNAcentral is "partial 26S ribosomal RNA". It matches the Rfam family "Eukaryotic large subunit ribosomal RNA", at positions 1 to 58 of the family's 3401-position model. Lineage: Eukaryota; Viridiplantae; Chlorophyta; Chlorophyceae; Chaetopeltidales; Chaetopeltidaceae. The record is from RNAcentral.
UCGACCUGAGAUCAGGCAAGAUUACCCGCUGAACUUAAGCAUAUCAAUAAGCGGAGGAA